AGCAGCCGCGGUAAUUCCAGCUCCAAUAGCGUAUAUUAAAGUUGUUGCAGUUAAAAAGCUCGUAGUUGAAUUUCGGGAUCAAUUUGCUGGUCGUGCCUCUGGUACGUACUGGUAUUAUUGGUUUCUCCCUUCUGACGAACCAUGAUGUCAUUAAUUUGAUGUCGUGGAGAAUCAGGACUGUUACUUUGAAAAAAAUUAGAGUGUUUAAAGCAGGCAUUAGCUUGAAUACAUUAGCAUGGAAUAAUGAAAUAGGACGUUUGAUCCUAUUUUUGUUGGUUUCUAGGAUUGACGUAAUGAUUAAUAGGGAUAGUUGGGGGGCAUUAGUAUUCAAUUGUCAGAGGUGAAAUUCUUGGAUUUAUUGAAGACUAACUACUGCGAAAGCAUUUGCCAAGGAUGUUUUCAUUAAUCAAGAACGAAAGUUAGGGGAUCGAAGACGAUCAGAUACCGUCGUAGUCUUAACCAUAAACUAUGCCGACUAGGGAUCGGAUGAUGUUAAUUUUUUUAAUGACUCAUUCGGCGC
This 520-nucleotide ribosomal RNA is filed under the name uncultured Glomus. Its description in RNAcentral is "SSU rRNA". It matches the Rfam family "Eukaryotic small subunit ribosomal RNA", at positions 569 to 1086 of the family's 1831-position model. Lineage: Eukaryota; Fungi; Glomeromycota; Glomeromycetes; Glomerales; Glomeraceae. The record is from RNAcentral.